RNAcentral lists this long non-coding RNA (293 nucleotides) under Mus musculus (house mouse). Its description in RNAcentral is "alncRNA-EC40". The record is from RNAcentral. Lineage: Eukaryota; Metazoa; Chordata; Mammalia; Rodentia; Muridae.
CUUUGAGGGACUGUCUCUGCAAAAGCAGAGGAAGGAAGGACCGUGCAGCUGUGUAGAGUUGGAAUUGAUCCCUAAGGCUGGACAUGGGGCGGGAAAGCCCCAAGGCACUAAGACAAAGGGGGAAGGCAUGAAUGCCACGGACAUAUGUGGAGAUCAGAGGACAGCGUUCACGAGUCCUUCAAAAACAGGUACUUAUCAUCAGUAAAGGGGAGGGUCUCUUCAGUCAAAGAGGACAGUUGCCUAGGGCCAGACUCCAUGGGAGAGUGUCUGUCUGUCCAGCAUGCAUGACGCCU